GAUGAACGCUAGCGACAGGCUUAACACAUGCAAGUCGAGGGGCAGCGGGGGAUGCGUUCGCGCAUUCUGCCGGCGACCGGCGCACGGGUGAGUAACACGUAUGCAACCUGCCCCGUCCAGGGGGAUAAUCGGCGGAAACGCCGUCUAAUACCGCGUAUAUCGAUUCCGGGCAUCCGGGAUUGAAGAAAGGGCCUUAGGGUCCGGGACGGGAUGGGCAUGCGGCGCAUUAGGAAGUUGGCGGUGUAACGGACCACCAAUCCGUCGAUGCGUAGGGGUUCUGAGAGGAAGGUCCCCCACACUGGUACUGAGACACGGACCAG
This 320-nucleotide ribosomal RNA is filed under the name uncultured bacterium. Its description in RNAcentral is "bacterial SSU rRNA". It matches the Rfam family "Bacterial small subunit ribosomal RNA", at positions 28 to 334 of the family's 1533-position model. The record is from RNAcentral.